This 67-nucleotide transfer RNA is filed under the name Onthophagus cf. jeannelianus. RNAcentral's name for it is "tRNA-Ser". Lineage: Eukaryota; Metazoa; Arthropoda; Insecta; Coleoptera; Scarabaeidae. The record is from RNAcentral.
AAGAUAUAAUUAAUUAAAAAUAAGCUUCUAACUUAAUUUUUAGCAGUGAAAUUCUGUUAAUAUCUUU